RNAcentral lists this ribosomal RNA (390 nucleotides) under uncultured bacterium. RNAcentral's name for it is "bacterial SSU rRNA". It matches the Rfam family "Bacterial small subunit ribosomal RNA", at positions 28 to 419 of the family's 1533-position model. The record is from RNAcentral.
GACGAACGCUGGCGGCGUGCUUAACACAUGCAAGUCGAGCGGUAAGGCCCUUUCGGGGGUACGCGAGCGGCGAACGGGUGAGUAACACGUGGGUGACCUGCCCUCAGCUCUGGGAUAAGCCCGGGAAACUGGGUCUAAUACCGGAUAUGACUCCAUGACGCAUGUUGUGGGGUGGAAAGCCUUGUGCGGCUGAGGAUGGGCCCGCGGCCUAUCAGCUUGUUGGUGGGGUGAUGGCCUACCAAGGCGACGACGGGUAGCCGGCCUGAGAGGGCGACCGGCCACACUGGGACUGAGAUACGGCCCAGACUCCUACGGGAGGCAGCAGUGGGGAAUCUUGCGCAAUGGGCGAAAGCCUGACGCAGCGACGCCGCGUGAGGGAUGACGGCCUGG